RNAcentral lists this ribosomal RNA (333 nucleotides) under uncultured Pseudomonadota bacterium. Its description in RNAcentral is "bacterial SSU rRNA". It matches the Rfam family "Bacterial small subunit ribosomal RNA", at positions 29 to 351 of the family's 1533-position model. Lineage: Bacteria; Pseudomonadati; Pseudomonadota. The record is from RNAcentral.
AAUGAACGCUGGCGGCGUGCCUAACACAUGCAAGUCGUACGAGAAAGGGGCUUCGGCCCUGAGUAGAGUGGCGCACGGGUGAGUAACGCGUGGGUAAUCUACCCUUGGAUUUGGGAUAACUUCGCGAAAGCGGAGCUAAUACCGGAUAGUCUGGCUUUAAUUAAGAAGUCGGUAAAGGAUGCCUCUGCAUAUGCAUUCGUCCGAGGAUGAGCCCGCGUCUCAUUAGCUAGUUGGUAGGGUAAUGGCCUACCAAGGCAACGAUGAGUAGCUGGUCUGAGAGGAUGAUCAGCCACACUGGAACUGAAACACGGUCCAGACUCCUACGGGAGGCAG